This 528-nucleotide ribosomal RNA is filed under the name uncultured bacterium. Its description in RNAcentral is "partial 16S ribosomal RNA". It matches the Rfam family "Bacterial small subunit ribosomal RNA", at positions 355 to 894 of the family's 1533-position model. The record is from RNAcentral.
UGGGGAAUAUUGCACAAUGGGCGCAAGCCUGAUGCAGCAACGCCGCGUGAGGGAUGACGGCCUUCGGGUUGUAAACCUCUUUUAGUAGGGAAGAAGCGAAAGUGACGGUACCUGCAGAAAAAGCACCGGCUAACUACGUGCCAGCAGCCGCGGUAAUACGUAGGGUGCGAGCGUUGUCCGGAAUUAUUGGGCGUAAAGAGCUCGUAGGCGGUCUGUCGCGUCUGCUGUGAAAACCCGAGGCUCAACCUCGGGCCUGCAGUGGGUACGGGCAGACUAGAGUGCGGUAGGGGAGAAUGGAAUUCCUGGUGUAGCGGUGGAAUGCGCAGAUAUCAGGAGGAACACCGAUGGCGAAGGCAGUUCUCUGGGCCGUAACUGACGCUGAGGAGCGAAAGCGUGGGGAGCGAACAGGAUUAGAUACCCUGGUAGUCCACGCCGUAAACGUUGGGCGCUAGAUGUGGGGACCAUUCCACGGUUUCCGUGUCGCAGCUAACGCAUUAAGCGCCCGCCUGGGGAGUACGGCCGCAAGGC